This 484-nucleotide ribosomal RNA is filed under the name uncultured bacterium. Its description in RNAcentral is "partial 16S ribosomal RNA". It matches the Rfam family "Bacterial small subunit ribosomal RNA", at positions 30 to 507 of the family's 1533-position model. The record is from RNAcentral.
AUUGAACGCUGGCGGCAGGCCUAACACAUGCAAGUCGAGCGGAUGAAGGGAGCUUGCUCCUGGAUUCAGCGGCGGACGGGUGAGUAAUGCCUAGGAAUCUGCCUGGUAGUGGGGGAUAACGUCCGGAAACGGGCGCUAAUACCGCAUACGUCCUGAGGGAGAAAGUGGGGGAUCUUCGGACCUCACGCUAUCAGAUGAGCCUAGGUCGGAUUAGCUAGUUGGUGGGGUAAAGGCCUACCAAGGCGACGAUUCGUAACUGGUCUGAGAGGAUGAUCAGUCACACUGGAACUGAGACACGGUCCAGACUCCUACGGGAGGCAGCAGUGGGGAAUAUUGGACAAUGGUCGAAAGCCUGAUCCAGCCAUGCCGCGUGUGUGAAGAAGGUCUUCGGAUUGUAAAGCACUUUAAGUUGGGAGGAAGGGCAGUAAGUUAGUACCUUGCUGUUUUGACGUUACCAACAGAAUAAGCACCGGCUAACUUCGUG